GGUGUUGAAGGCCCUGCAAAGCAGCAUCGCGGUGGCGGAGCGUCGUUUGCGACGCCCAACACACAAAACAAGCGGUGAGUGCUUUGGGGUGGGGUGACUGCGUACCUUUUGUAUAAUGGGUCAGCGACUUAUAUUCUGUAGCAAGGUUAACCGAAUAGGGGAGCCGGAGGGAAACCGAGUCUUAAUUGGGCGUUAAGUUGCAGGGUAUAGACCCGAAACCCGGUGAUCUAGCCAUGGGCAGGUUGAAGGUUGGGUAACACUAACUGGAGGACCGAACCGACUAAUGUUGAAAAAUUAGCGGAUGACCUGUGGCUGGGGGUGAAAGGCCAAUCAAACCGGGAGAUAGCUGGUUCUCCCCGAAAGCUAUUUAGGUAGCGCCUCGUGAAUUCAUCUCCGGGGGUAGAGCACUGUUUCGGCUAGGGGGCCAUCCCGGCUUACCAACCCGAUGCAAACUGCGAAUACCGGAGAAUGUUAUCACGGGAGACACACGGCGGGUGCUAACGUCCGUCGUGAAGAGGGAAACAACCCAGACCGCCAGCUAAGGUCCCAAAGUCAUGGUUAAGUGGGAAACGAUGUGGGAAGGCCCAGACAGCCAGGAUGUUGGCUUAGAAGCAGCCAUCAUUUAAAGAAAGCGUAAUAGCUCACUGGUCGAGUCGGCCUGCGCGGAAGAUGUAACGGGGCUAAACCAU
Molecule: ribosomal RNA, 689 nt
Filed under: Salmonella enterica
Lineage: Bacteria; Pseudomonadati; Pseudomonadota; Gammaproteobacteria; Enterobacterales; Enterobacteriaceae
Description: partial 23S ribosomal RNA
Rfam family: Bacterial large subunit ribosomal RNA
Source: RNAcentral